UCAAAAUGCAUCGAGCAGCAUACCGGCAGAUGAGAUGGACUGGACCACUGUUGCUAUGGUGCUGAAACAGGUGCUAUAAAAGAUAAGGAUCUGAGUCCAGAGGAACUGGAAGAGGACAUCAGCAGGGUCAGUGUUGCUGGAAGAAGUGGAUGGAGAAGAUUAAAAGCAGCCUGAUUCCACUGAACUUUGUGAAGAAUUGUGCCUCCCUCCAGCUGCAGCACAACUAUCAAUCCUUUGAAGGUCACUACAUGGAUGUGUACUGAAAAGAUUAGGAAGAAAAGAAAGACUAUUGGGGUUGUCAAACCAAUCAUCCGAGCCAGAGGAGACAGCGAGGCCCACUCCUUUGGGAAGAAUGUCAUCUCUUCGCAGGCAGCUUUACACCAAAGGCUCAAGGCUUUGGCAGCCUGCUUUAACAUCUUGACACAACUCAGCCAGCUAAUGAACAGCAUUAGAGGCCCAUGGGCCAGGACAUACAAACUCAUGGACAAACAUACA
Thunnus maccoyii (southern bluefin tuna) is the source of this 495-nucleotide long non-coding RNA. RefSeq lists it as uncharacterized. NCBI's taxonomy places the organism in Eukaryota, Metazoa, Chordata, Actinopteri, Scombriformes, Scombridae. The record is from RefSeq and is a predicted model, not a curated record. The transcript has 3 exons.